GGUGCUGCAUGGCUGUCGUCAGCUCGUGUCGUGAGAUGUUCGGUUAAGUACCGCUAACGAGCGCAACCCUCGCCGUAUGUUACAAGUGUCAUACGGGACUGCCGGUAAAAGCCGGAGGAAGGUGAGGAUGAUGUCAAGUCAGCAUGACCUUUAUAUCCAGGGCUACACACACGCUACAAUGGUCUGUACAAUUGGUUGCCAAGCCGCGAGGCGGAGCCAAUCCGUAAAGCAGGCCUCAGUUCAGAUUGCAGUCUGCAACUCGACUGCAUGAAGCCGGAGUUGCUAGUAACCGCAGGUCAGCAAUACUGCGGUGAAUACGUUCCCGGGUCUU
RNAcentral lists this ribosomal RNA (331 nucleotides) under uncultured Anaerolineaceae bacterium. Its description in RNAcentral is "bacterial SSU rRNA". It matches the Rfam family "Bacterial small subunit ribosomal RNA", at positions 1037 to 1382 of the family's 1533-position model. Lineage: Bacteria; Bacillati; Chloroflexota; Anaerolineae; Anaerolineales; Anaerolineaceae. The record is from RNAcentral.